This 867-nucleotide ribosomal RNA is filed under the name Salinicola salarius. Its description in RNAcentral is "bacterial SSU rRNA". It matches the Rfam family "Bacterial small subunit ribosomal RNA", at positions 375 to 1236 of the family's 1533-position model. Lineage: Bacteria; Pseudomonadati; Pseudomonadota; Gammaproteobacteria; Oceanospirillales; Halomonadaceae. The record is from RNAcentral.
GCGAAGCCUGAUCCAGCCAUGCCGCGUGUGUGAAGAAGGCUUUCGGGUUGUAAAGCACUUUCAGCGAGGAAGAAAGCCUCUGGGUUAAUACCCCAGAGGAAGGACAUCACUCGCAGAAGAAGCACCGGCUAACUCCGUGCCAGCAGCCGCGGUAAUACGGAGGGUGCGAGCGUUAAUCGGAAUUACUGGGCGUAAAGCGCGCGUAGGUGGCUUGGCACGCCGGUUGUGAAAGCCCCGGGCUCAACCUGGGAACGGCAUCCGGAACGGCCAGGCUAGAGUGCAGGAGAGGAAGGUAGAAUUCCCGGUGUAGCGGUGAAAUGCGUAGAGAUCGGGAGGAAUACCAGUGGCGAAGGCGGCCUUCUGGCCUGACACUGACACUGAGGUGCGAAAGCGUGGGUAGCAAACAGGAUUAGAUACCCUGGUAGUCCACGCCGUAAACGAUGUCGACUAGCCGUUGGGACCUUUAAGGACUUAGUGGCGCAGUUAACGCGAUAAGUCGACCGCCUGGGGAGUACGGCCGCAAGGUUAAAACUCAAAUGAAUUGACGGGGGCCCGCACAAGCGGUGGAGCAUGUGGUUUAAUUCGAUGCAACGCGAAGAACCUUACCUACCCUUGACAUCCAGAGAACUUUCCAGAGAUGGAUUGGUGCCUUCGGGAACUCUGAGACAGGUGCUGCAUGGCUGUCGUCAGCUCGUGUUGUGAAAUGUUGGGUUAAGUCCCGUAACGAGCGCAACCCUUGUCCUUAUUUGCCAGCGAUUCGGUCGGGAACUCUAAGGAGACUGCCGGUGACAAACCGGAGGAAGGUGGGGACGACGUCAAGUCAUCAUGGCCCUUACGGGUAGGGCUACACACGUGCUACAAUGGCCC